CAUAGCGGAACCGCAUGGUUCUGUUAUCAAAGAUUUUAUCGCUGAUAGAUGGGCUCGCGUCCGAUUAGAUAGUUGGUGGGGUAACGGCCUACCAAGUCGACGAUCGGUAGCCGGACUGAGAGGUCGAACGGCCACAUUGGGACUGAGACACGGCCCAGACUCCUACGGGAGGCAGCAGUGGGGGAUAUUGCACAAUGGGGGAAACCCUGAUGCAGCGACGCCGCGUGAGGGAAGACGGUCCUCUGGAUUGUAAACCUCUGUCUUCGGGGACGAAACGAGACGAUACCCGAGGAGGAAGCCACGGCUAACUACGUGCCAGCAGCCGCGGUAAUACGUAGGUGGCAAGCGUUGUCCGGAAUUACUGGGUGUAAAGGGAGCGUAGGCGGGCAGGCAAGUCAGGCGUGAAAUAUAUCGGCUCAACCGGUAACGGCGCUUGAAACUGCAGGUCUUGAGUGAAGUAGAGGUUGGCGGAAUUCCUAGUGUAGCGGUGAAAUGCGUAGAUAUUAGGAGGAACACCAGUGGCGAAGGCGGCCAACUGGGCUUUUACUGACGCUGAGGCUCGAAAGUGUGGGGAGCAAACAGGAUUAGAUACCCUGGUAGUCCACACCGUAAACGAUGAUUACUAGGUGUGGGGGGAC
This 638-nucleotide ribosomal RNA is filed under the name uncultured bacterium. Its description in RNAcentral is "bacterial SSU rRNA". It matches the Rfam family "Bacterial small subunit ribosomal RNA", at positions 173 to 831 of the family's 1533-position model. The record is from RNAcentral.